UGCAUCGGCCGGGAAUCGAACCCGGCCCGCUCGCGUGGCAGGCGAGCAUUCUACCACUGAACCACCGAUGC
Molecule: transfer RNA, 71 nt
Filed under: Cordylochernes scorpioides
Lineage: Eukaryota; Metazoa; Arthropoda; Arachnida; Pseudoscorpiones; Chernetidae
Description: tRNA-Gly
Source: RNAcentral